RNAcentral lists this small RNA (20 nucleotides) under Caenorhabditis elegans. RNAcentral describes it as "Unclassified non-coding RNA F10E7.12". Lineage: Eukaryota; Metazoa; Nematoda; Chromadorea; Rhabditida; Rhabditidae. The record is from RNAcentral.
GCAAUGUGCGGACAAAAAGG